UUGUUAUAUAUAUGUAGGACUCUAAAGUGCGAUGGUACUCUAAAGUGCGAUGGUCACGCUAAAGUGCGAUGGUCUACGCUAAAGUACGAUGGUGUCUCACGUUAAAGUGCAAUUGUUGUUUGUUCGCUAAAGUACGAUGGUAUAUCACGCUAAAAUGCGAUGGACCAAUAGGGUAAGGUUCUAGGGCUUUAUAAAAAACGUUAAAGAACACUCAAUGUAAAAAUAGUCCUUUUGUAUAAUCUAGUAUUAUAAGGUAUACCAUAUGUGAAAGGCAUUAUAAUUUAACAAUAGUUUGAAGUGAAUUAUUCUAAAAGACCGACCAUGUAAUAAUUGCUAAAAAUGUAAUUUGGGUGGCACAGAAUACUAUAUUUCUUGUACUAGUCAAUGAUUUUUUUACAAUUUUGGCGUAUUUACAAAUUUUGUGAUAAUUGGUGUAGCUUGCCGUUCACACGUAGUCUAUCACUUUUUGGAACACCUCCCCUUACAAUCUUCCUUAUAAUUAAAGAUACAAAAUGUAAUUAUUAUCGGAAUAUGUAACAUUUAUUUGUUUAAUUUAAAUGAGAGAGAAAGGCGAUUUUUGCUGAGCUUAAUAUACGCCUUUUUUGUAGCGACUACACAUCCAUGUUAUAUUAUCCUGCAAUGUGCAUGCUAAUGUUUUAGCCGACAAUUUAUAAUUUAUGCAUGAAAACAUGUCCCUUUAUUUUGCCGACGUUGCUUUUUAAUAAGAGCGACAACAUUUUAACGGAGACCGCACAAUAAACUGCAACAAAAACAAUGAUUUAAAUGCAUCCGUUCGCUUCCAAUAAAAGCAGGAUACAGGAUAUCUAUGCAAAUACUACUUGUAUCGACAGGGACUAUAGUAAACCGGUCGAGAGCAGGAUACAAGUUUUUC
This 892-nucleotide long non-coding RNA is filed under the name Mytilus galloprovincialis (Mediterranean mussel). Lineage: Eukaryota; Metazoa; Mollusca; Bivalvia; Mytilida; Mytilidae. The record is from RNAcentral.